This is a long non-coding RNA of Homo sapiens (human), 688 nucleotides long. Ensembl annotates it as long intergenic non-protein coding RNA 1435. The record is from Ensembl. Lineage: Eukaryota; Metazoa; Chordata; Mammalia; Primates; Hominidae.
GGCUGAAAGCAAUGAUGUUGCCAUUCAUCCUUUCACGUAUUCAUUAUGGUCUACAGCUGAGAAGGGCUAUUUGGGGUUUGCUUUGCCUGAUGGUAGCAGAAGAAAACCAAGAGGCCUCUCUACGAAAGCUUGCAGUAAGGAGAAAGUUCUGGAGACUGGGAAGAGCAACACAAAGAUAUUCAGUUGCUUGGUGAGAGCUGCUCUCUGCUUCCAAGGCGGCACCUUGUUGCUGCAUUCUCCAAUGGGAAGGAACGCUGGGUCCUCACAUGACAGAAGGUGGAAAGGACACAGAAACAAGCAAAACUGAACACAGAGACCAGGCCCUCAUCAACACCAAAUCUGCCAGUGCCUUGAUAUUGGACUUCCCAGGCUCCAGAACCGUGAGAAACAAAUUUCUCUCACUUACACAUUACCCUUUUGGAGGCAUUUUGUUACAGCUGUACACAUGGACUAAGACAGAACUACAACUACAAUUAAGUAUCAGACAGUUCCAUUUUCAAUGUCUUGAUUUUCUAAAGUAUCUACAAGCAUCUUGAGAUACAUAGAUGAGGUUUGGGAAUUAGUAAGAAGGAUAGGCAGAGAUCUGGGAACCUGAUGUGGGAAGAAAUCUCAUCUGUGACCACGAUUUUGUCAGGAGUCACGGGAUUCUAUAGCUGCAGCAAACCUGGAGCAAACUGGUCCCCACCAA